Molecule: ribosomal RNA, 468 nt
Filed under: uncultured bacterium
Lineage: Bacteria
Description: partial 16S ribosomal RNA
Rfam family: Bacterial small subunit ribosomal RNA
Source: RNAcentral
GACGAACGCUGGCGGCGUGCUUAACACAUGCAAGUCGAACGGAAAGGCACUGCUUUUGUGGGGUGCUCGAGUGGCGAACGGGUGAGUAACACGUGAGUAACCUGCCCUUGACUUUGGGAUAACUUCAGGAAACUGGGGCUAAUACCGGAUAGGAGCUCCUGCUGCAUGGUGGGGGUUGGAACGUUUCGGCGGUUGGGGAUGGACUCGCGGCUGAUCAGCUUGUUGGUGGGGGAGUGGCUUACCAAGGCUUUGACGGGUAGCCGGCUUGUGAGGGUGACCGGCGACAUUGGGACUGAGAUACGGCCCAGACUCCUACGGGAGGCAGCAGUGGGGAAUAUUGCACAAUGGGCGGAAGUCUGAUGCAGCAACGCCGCGGGCGGGAUGACGGCCUUCGGGUUGUAAACCGCUUUCGCCUGUGACGAAGCGUGAGUGACGGUAAUGGGUAAAGAAGCACCGGCUAACUACGUG